CUCCCCCUUAUUCAUGUUGCCUCUGCUUUUUAAAGCACUGUCAUCUUUCUGCUCAAAGCAAAACUUUGGUCAGUGCUCAUACAGGGAAGAAACUUUUUAGUAAAAGACUGAAUUGUUUCUCUUGACUUCUGUUUAUUUUUGAGAUGGGGUCUUCCCAGGCUGGCCUAGAACUCUUGGGCUCAAGGGAUCCUUCUGCCUCAAGCUCCCCAAGUGACUGGGACUACAGGCUCGUGCCACUGCACCCAGCUUUUUUCUUGACUUUUGUUCCCAAAGUUUGGUAAGCUGACAUUUUGAUAAUAUGAAUGUUUAAGAUUUUACGUAAAUCAUUAAACUUAGUACCUG
RNAcentral lists this long non-coding RNA (342 nucleotides) under Marmota monax (woodchuck). Lineage: Eukaryota; Metazoa; Chordata; Mammalia; Rodentia; Sciuridae. The record is from RNAcentral.